Bufo gargarizans (Asiatic toad) is the source of this 798-nucleotide long non-coding RNA. RefSeq lists it as uncharacterized. Lineage: Eukaryota; Metazoa; Chordata; Amphibia; Anura; Bufonidae. The record is from RefSeq and is a predicted model, not a curated record. The transcript is spliced from 3 exons.
CUCCACUGCGGCCCCCCUUCCUCACGGGCCCCAUAGCAGCUGCGUGGUCUGCCUAUAUGUCCAAAACUUGAAAACAAGAUGGCAGUCUUGCCGUGAUCAAUUUCGGCAGAAGGAGACGUAAAAAAAAGGACGUAGUGGCGAUAGUGGUGGAAAAAAACAACAACAUAUCUAUACACCCAGCAACUUCGGUUCCUGAAGCCCAUUUUUGAAUUGCGGCCAACUGUCGACAGUCUGGAUGAAGGCCCAUCUGAAACGCGGUCUGUGGAUAGUAAUCCGGUGAUGUCACCUCCGGACCCCUGCUCUCCAGCGCGUACACCACCGCAGCCUUCAACUCCACCAGCUGACCUUCCGGAUGAACCCCAGACUAGCAGAGCAUCCAGGAAGAGGAGACGACAGAGUCCCCCUCCGCAGCCUAUUUCGGGAUCAAAUACUCGAGACCUGGUGGAUACUCACGUUCUCGAGUAUUUAUCCCGAAACAGGCCGGAGUGCCAGGAGGACUCUAUAAUGCUAGGACUGGGACCAUUUCUACAAAGAGUACCACGGUCAAGGCAGUAUAUGUGCGUGUCGUCAUUGACUGCUGUCCUUGAAUUAUUUGCAGGGCCAAUAAUGCCCAUGAAUAUUUUUAAUUAUUUAAAUGAGGCGAGAAAAAAGCUGCAUGUAGCGGCUGACCAGCCAACGUUUGAGCCAGUAUUGAGCCAGCCUCAAAGGGUCACACGAGUUUACCCCCCGCCUCUACCUCCUCAACAUGUGAGGGUUACUCUGUUACCCAAGACCUGUAUGAGUUAUGAUUUCUGUUUG